CUGUCACUGAGUGACCUCUCCAGCUUGAAUACUGUGUUUAGCUCCUGAAAUAUCAGCCUCUACUCCUGGAGGCUAAAGGCCAGGACCUUUAAUCUGCACAAUGCUGAGGCUAGUCAGACAAGGAAACUGAAGCAGCUCUAUAGGUGGCUUAAUUGAAUAGUUUAGGAGGAGGAACUUGGGCCCAGAUAUGACAUGAAUUAGAAAAGUUUCUUUUCUGAGUCUCCCUUAGGGAGACACUUGCUGAAAUAACCAUUGAACUGCUUCAUUUUCUCGCUAAGCUAAAAGGCUUUAAGAAUCGUCAAGCCUAAGACAGUUCCAUGUUUACUCUCCACUCUUCCACAAAGUACACUGAAUGAGAUUAGUUGACUAGGUAUCAGACACUGCCUCAAAGGGUAUAUUUACAAGUGGCCUCAUUAGUCCAUAAUGCUACCAUAAUAAAGGCCUGGAAAGUGUUCAAGACUGUAUUUAAAACGUAAAUUUCUUACCCAGUAAUAGCCAUUUUUAGAAAGCAGAAAUAGUUCAAAGUAAUUAACUUGAAUAUAGAACAUUUGCAAGAAAAUGGAUAGAAGUUGACUGAAUAUGUGGGCCUUUUAAAAGUUAUAAAUAAUAUUUGUAAGUGGCAUUAUCAAAUGUAAAUGACCAAGUAACAAAUACAGAUAAGCACCCAGACAGCCUGUGUAUGAGCAACUAGAAUUAAUAGCCUGGCCUUUCUUCCUGUAUGCUCAAUUCCUUCAUGAAAUACUAAUAUACAACUUCAGUUCAUGAUUUUUAGGCAGAGGAGUUUCACCAAUGAGUUCCAGGACAUACAUUCUAGACUAUAUACAGCAGUAACGUGCCAAAAAAACAAAAAAAAAACCUUGAAAAAAAAGAAAAGAAAAAGCAAACAAAACCCAAAACCCAUUACAUUUCAUACUUUUUAACAUGUCAAGUUUGUGAUGUCCUCCAGUUUUAUUUGUUAAUUCAAAUUAGGAUGAAAUGAAUAGUUCUUGGAAAGUACUAGGGCAUAAUAUUGAUUUAUGCAUUCAGAGGACUAUAAUGUAGUCAGCAAAUAAAAGAUGUUUAGUCAUUGUAAAAGUUGAAAUAUAAACAAAAUCAUUUUCUUAAGACUAUAUAAUGUUGGUAAUCAAAAAAUUCAUCAUAAACCUAGCUUCACAGUACACAUGGUAAUCUCUUGUCUGUGCAGCAUAGAGACACCUGGACUCAAAACAAUAACAAAUCUGCAUUUAAAAUGGUAACUUUCCAAAACACCAAUUGCUUAUGCUUGGUGUAUUUUUCACUGGACAUGGGAUUUUUUUAUUAGAUUUUUACUAGAAGAAGAUGUCACUGGAAGCAGACUAUUUGGAUUUUCUUUCUAGUCUGUUACCAGUAAACGUAUAGUCUUGGGCAGGUGAUAUUGACCUCUCUGGGCCUCCAUCCUUUAUGUUGAACAGUAAAGACAAAAAUAUGAACAUUAGCAUUGUAUAGUUAUUGUAGGAAUUAGGCGAGAUUAAACUCUCCUAGAGUAGUGUUUGGUAAACUCUCCUUGUUAACUCUGGCUGGAAGUGUAGCUCAAAUCUUAGUAUGCAUGAGGCCUGUAUUCUGUCCUAGCAGCCAGGAGGAAAAGGUUGGAGGAGAGAGGACAAAGGAAGAAGUAAGUUAGUUGUCAUUUUUAUUUUUUAUUGUGUUUUGUAGUGCUAGAGAUCAGACUUGAAAUGUAUUCAUUAAAGACAAGCACACUACCACCAUGCUAAUAACCCCAUUGUCAGGGCAUUAUCAAAUAAAACUCACUUGUUAUUACUAUUAUAAAACAAAUAGUUUUAACAAACCAAACACAGAAAUAUGUCCAACAGAAGCCUCUCCGUUCCAUCCAGUUUCUCAAACACUGACAUUAUCAGUGUUAACUGUUGAUGUAUUCUUUGUUAUUUUGGCUUCUAUAAACUGUACAUAUGUUUGUUCUUGAGUAUGGGAUUUUAAUAUAAAAUUAUAUGUACAAGUACACAUUCAGUAAUAUAUGUUCAAAUUGGUCUUUUUAAUGCCUUAGUAUAUUAUAAUUAUCUAACAGAAAAAAAUAUGAAUUGAAAUUAUCAUUUUAAUGCAAUAUGUUACUUAAUACUGGAAUAUAUCUUAUUCAAUACAAAUACUGUUAUCAUUAGGACUACUAUGCCUAACUAUAAAUAAUUCAUAAUGAAUAUACUUGUUCCAAUACCAGCAAAAAUGAUUUUAUACUGACACUUCUGUUUUAGUGGGAUGAUUUCAGCAGUGGAUUGCUUUCACUAAGACUGGAUAUUUAUACUUUUAAUAGCUAUAAUAAGAUUACUGAAAAGGGCCUAUUUUAUUCCAUAGUUAUAUAUGACAGUACUCAUGUCUCUACAGUUUCACCAACAUUGAUUAUUUCCAGCCUGCCCAGUUACUGGAGCUGGCACAGGUAGAGGCUGGCUGUUGGCUGCUGGCUGCUGGCGAAGACACAGGCAACUUUGCUUUGUGGCCAUGUGCUUUUCCAACACAAGCUACUUGUCUACCUCCUUCUCUCCUCUCUCUCUCCCUCUCUUUCCCCAUCUCCCUUUCCCUCCUUCCCUCCUUUCUUCCCCCUCUUCUUUCUUUCUGUCUCUCUCUCACUAGGAGCUGAAUGGAUAUGUAUUCCAUGAUGCCUUGCGUAUCAUUUGUACUCUUAGUGUCAUUCCCCAUUGUAUUUUCUCUUGUCAUAUAUUCUUUAUGAUUAGAUUUGAACUCUAUUUUUCAUUGGAUAAUACCAGUCCAAAUAAAUAUUUCCAUAGCUAACUAAUACAUAGGGACAGGAUUUUUUUUUCACUCUGGCCCAUGACAAGCAUUCAAUAUGUAUUUAAUGAGUCAGCAACAUUUCAAGAUUUAGCACAUGAUCAAUAUAAAGUAACCACUUGAGGUUUUUUAUUUUUGAAGUUUUCAGUUUUGUUUUGUUUGUUUGUUUGUUUUGCUAUGUAACCUGGGAUGACAUUAAACUGGCCACCCUCCUGGUUCAGCCUUUGGAGUGGUGGGAUUAUAGACAUGUAUGUGCCCUGAGGUGGCAUAAAUUAAAACACUGGCUAAAGGGAGGGCUGAAGGCAUGUGUCCCCGAGGGAACAGUGUUACCACCCAGAUAUAAACAGUGACCCACCCCAGCAGCUGUAGGCAUUGAUUUUUUUUUUUUAAAGGAAGGUUAUAGAUUCUCUGAACUAUCCCAAGGGUACCUAAUAAUAAUAAUAUUCUGGUUAUGUUUCCUUAUUUAUUUUUAUUCAUAAUAUUUUUCUUCCUUACAAAGGACCUGUAAUAUGUCAUGCGAUAGUAACAUAGGGAUUGAAAUAUAAAAUUAGAUCCAAUAUAAAAGAAAAAAUUUGUACAACAAUAGUGUCAACAUAUAUUUUAUCUGGGCUUUAGUUUUGACUCCAAGAUUCCUAGCAGCCAGAGCAAAUAAAGAAAUAUGUUCAUAUUGCCUCAUUGUUUUAAAAGGGGAUGGAAGCUAUGUGCCACUUGUCUCAGAGAGAGCAACCCUUCCUAGCUCCAACAACCAAUAGCAAGUGUAGUGCAUAACCUAUAUGUAUGGAUGUGAACUGUCAUUUUAGGCACUUAAAGUUCUUGAAAGAAUUAAUUAUAUUACAUUUAAAAUUAUGCCGAAUGGAACUUACUGACUCCUUUGUAGAAUUGUAUAGAAAAGGUUUAUGUUUGUUUUGGGAUUAAGAAAGAGGUGGCUCUGUGACUAAGCGCUCUAGCUGCUCUUACAGAAGGCUGGAGUUCAACUCCCAGCACUAUAUGAUGGCUCACAACCAUGGAAUCCAUCACUCUCUUCAGGCCUCAAUGGGCAUUAGACACACAUAGAACUCAGACAUACAUGUAAGCAAAAUAUCUACGUAUAAACAAAAUAAUAAUAAAAAGUUUUAGAGAGUAAUAAUCAGUGAUCAUGUAAGAGUAAUUUUCUUCUACUCUAAUAUAGGGAGAAUUGAAAAUUGAGCAACAAUAUUUGGAAAUUGCAGAAGAUUGAUCAGGAAUAUCUCAUUUCAGGCCAGCUUGGGAUAUGUAGAGAGACUCUGUCUGAACAAACAAGGUGACUCCCAGGUAAAGGUGCCUGCCACUCCACUUGCAGCAUAGCAUAUGUGUACUGCCAACUCCAUGCACAUGAAAUAAAUAACACAAUAAGAAUAAAUCUAUAAUAUGAACCAGCACCAAGGAUACUUCAAGAUCAGCUUGGUAAACUUAAUCUACUUGGUCUACUUCUCAGUCAGUGGCUCUCAAGCUUUGGUUCCAUCAGAAGUUGAACGUGUCUGUGGAGUAUUUGCUUAAUUCAGUUGAAUUUGCUCAAGCCAGUGUAUGCAUCAUUUCUUUUUUAAAAGGAAAAAAAAGCUUAAUGAAAGUAAAAGUCAAAUAAAUCAAGCAAUUUAGUCACUCAUAAGUAUAGUAAAACCAUAAUGUCAUUAAGAGUGAAGGGAGUGUAAGAUGAGUAACAACAAAGGUAGCUAAGAAGACCAGCUCGCUGGAACUCUACUGACUGCUAAGUGUUAGGAAGACCAAUUCACUGGAACUCCGCUGACUUGCUGACUUCACUGUACUUAGAGAUAAUCAAAUAUGAAAUGCAAUUUGAAUAUGUGACACACUGUGUCUGUGUGUCUAGAUGAACAAAUGUUCCUUUUAUGUAUUUUGGGAAGUAUAAAUCUCAUAGGGCUCUUUGCUGACAAGGUAGAAUGUCAAUAAAUUUUAAAUAUUAAUUUUUAAGGGUGAGAAAAUAA
This is a long non-coding RNA of Mastomys coucha (southern multimammate mouse), 4712 nucleotides long. RefSeq lists it as uncharacterized. The record is from RefSeq and is a predicted model, not a curated record. The transcript has 3 exons. NCBI's taxonomy places the organism in Eukaryota, Metazoa, Chordata, Mammalia, Rodentia, Muridae.